GAUGAACGCUGACAGCAUGCUUAACACAUGCAAGUCGACUUGAACUUCGGAUCGUGUGGCUGACGGGUGAGUCACGCGUAAAGAACUUGCCUCACAGAUUGGGACAACAUUUGGAAACGAAUGCUAAUACCUGAUCUUAUGAUUAUAUGGCAUCGUAUAAUUAUGAAAGCUAUAUGCGCUGUGAGAGAGCUUUGCGUCCCAUUAGCCAGUUGGAGAGGUAACGGCUCACCAAGGCGAGGAUGGCUAGCCAGCCUGAGAGGGUGAUCCGGUACAAGGGGACUGAGGCACGACCCUUACUCAAACGUGAAGCAUGAGUGAAGAAUAGAGGACAAUAGGCCAAGAGUGUGAUGAAGCAAUUCUGUGUGCAAAAUGAAGUUAUUCGGGAUGAAAAGUGCUUUCAGUUUAGAUUAAUAAUAUGACGGUACCAACAGAAUAAGUGACGGCUAAAUACGUG
This 454-nucleotide ribosomal RNA is filed under the name uncultured bacterium. Its description in RNAcentral is "partial 16S ribosomal RNA". It matches the Rfam family "Bacterial small subunit ribosomal RNA", at positions 28 to 507 of the family's 1533-position model. The record is from RNAcentral.